UACGUAGGGGGCAAGCGUUGUCCGGAUUUAUUGGGCGUAAAGAGCGUGUAGGCGGCCAGGUAGGUCCGUUGUGAAAACUCGAGGCUCAACCUCGAGACGCCGAUGGAAACCAUCUGGCUAGAGUCCGGAAGAGGCGAGUGGAAUUCCCGGUGUAGCGGUGAAAUGCGCAGAUAUCGGGAAGAACACCCGUGGCUAAGGCGGCUCUCUAGUACGGUACUGACGCUGAGACGCGAAAGCGUGGGGAGCGAACAGG
This 253-nucleotide ribosomal RNA is filed under the name uncultured bacterium. RNAcentral's name for it is "partial 16S ribosomal RNA". It matches the Rfam family "Bacterial small subunit ribosomal RNA", at positions 524 to 776 of the family's 1533-position model. The record is from RNAcentral.